GAUGAACGCUGGCGGCGUGCCUAAUACAUGCAAGUCGAGCGAACAGAUGAGGAGCUUGCUCCUUUGACGUUAGCGGCGCACGGGUGAGAAACACGUGGAUACCCUACCUUUAAGACUGAUAUAAUUUCGGGAAACCGGAUCUAAUACCGGAUGAUAUAUUGAAGCGCAUGGUUCAAUAGUGAAAGACGGUUUUGGUGUCACUUAUAGAUGGUUCCGCGCCGCAUUAGUUAGUUGGUAAGGUAACGGCUUACCAAGGCAACGAUGCGUAGCCGACGUGAGAGGGUGAUCGGCCACACGGGAACUGAGACACGGUCCAGACUCCUACGAGAGGCAGCAGUAGGGAAUCUUCCGCAAUGGGCGAGAGCAUGACGGAGCAACGCCGCGUGAGUGAUGAAAGUCUUCGGUUCGUAAAGCUCUGUUAUUAGGGAAGAACAAAUGUGUACGUAACUAUGCACGUCUUGACGGUACCUAAUCAGAAAGCAACGGCUAACUACGUG
RNAcentral lists this ribosomal RNA (497 nucleotides) under uncultured bacterium. Its description in RNAcentral is "partial 16S ribosomal RNA". It matches the Rfam family "Bacterial small subunit ribosomal RNA", at positions 28 to 507 of the family's 1533-position model. The record is from RNAcentral.